Molecule: ribosomal RNA, 540 nt
Filed under: uncultured bacterium
Lineage: Bacteria
Description: bacterial SSU rRNA
Rfam family: Bacterial small subunit ribosomal RNA
Source: RNAcentral
UGAGGAAUAUUGGUCAAUGGACGGAAGUCUGAACCAGCCAAGUAGCGUGCAGGAUGACGGCCCUAUGGGUUGUAAACUGCUUUUGUAUGGGGAUAAAGUCAAUCACGUGUGAUUGUUUGCAGGUACCAUACGAAUAAGGACCGGCUAAUUCCGUGCCAGCAGCCGCGGUAAUACGGAAGGUCCGGGCGUUAUCCGGAUUUAUUGGGUUUAAAGGGAGCGUAGGCCGGAGAUUAAGUGUGUUGUGAAAUGUAGACGCUCAACGUCUGACUUGCAGCGCAUACUGGUUUCCUUGAGUACGCACAACGUUGGCGGAAUUCGUCGUGUAGCGGUGAAAUGCUUAGAUAUGACGAAGAACUCCGAUUGCUAAGGCAGCUGACGGGAGCGCAACUGACGCUUAAGCUCGAAGGUGCGGGUAUCAAACAGGAUUAGAUACCCUGGUAGUCCGCACAGUAAACGAUGGAUGCCCGCUGUUGGUACCUGGUAUCAGCGGCUAAGCGAAAGCAUUAAGCAUCCCACCUGGGGAGUACGCCGGCAACGGUG